GAACAGGAGUUUGUAAAGGUUUCUGAUGAGGUAGGGAAAGUACUGCAGGGUUUAAUGAAUCAGUACAGGUUUGAUAUCAGAUGACGCACGCUGCCACUACAGGAUUACAGCAGCCAGAAGUCUAUCAGGAGACAUCCGCCACCGUAUGUCCUGGAAUAGACAAAUAGGCAUGUGUCAGCAGUAACGGAGAAGGAUUAGAUCUGAUCACUGCAUUAGCGUUAUAACACAGACUGAUGAAUGCUUCAGGUCAGAAGACACCACACAGACAAAGCUAUGGACUACAGGAAAAACUGAAGCUACUUUGAGAAAGAUAGCACACUUUAUUCUGCAUCCUUGUGGCCCACGGUUUUAGACCCCUCCUUUCAUCAGACUGUCUGUUCAUGGACCUCCUCCAAUUAUGUCAUCAUCCUAGAUCACGUUUGGCACAGCGUGGGUACAUAUGAGAUGUUGUGGAUCUUAAAGAUAAAGCAAAGAAACAAAGGAAGAAUCACAGGGAACAGUGGAGAUGCAUGCAGUGUUGUGAGGUUGAAAUGAAUGGAGAAAAGACCGGCAGUAAUGCUGUCCAGGUCACGUGUAACAGGACUGUCAUUCAUCACUCACAGCUUAACUGCAGCUGCUUCCAGGAAGUGAUUCUUAGUAUUUUUAAAGACAUGGACACAUGUUUCUUACUUGACAUACACAACCCCCUGAACUGUACCUCACAUUUGAUCCCCUUUACACAAACAAGCUCUCGUGGACCCUGGAAAAUUUGUCCUUGUAACAAUUGAUUUUCUUUUAAUACGUUGGAAUUUGAAUUGACAAUUAUUUACAAACAUGGAGAAGUUACAUUUUUUUCUCAACUAAGAUAUAUUCAAAGCUGUGAAACACCAGAAUCACUGAUUUUCAUUUUGCAUAUGAUGCUACAAAAUGUCCACAACAUUGUUUAAGGAUACAAAAUAAUGUACAAUCAAGGUUGGAAAUGGGACAGGGUCAAGGAAAUGAAUUUUCAUUUUCAUUAUGUAAUAAAAAUGGAUUUCAGGA
This is a non-coding RNA of Misgurnus anguillicaudatus (oriental weatherfish), 1020 nucleotides long. NCBI's taxonomy places the organism in Eukaryota, Metazoa, Chordata, Actinopteri, Cypriniformes, Cobitidae. The record is from RefSeq and is a predicted model, not a curated record.